AAGCCACUGAUCUAUGUCAGGCUGGAAGUUAGGAAAGCCCUGCCUCGGGGAGGGAGUGGAAAGAGAUGGACACAGCAAUUUCCACCGGGGUGCUGUCUCUCUCUUCUGGAAAGAGUCCUGUCUGUGCAAGAUGGUGGAGGUCAGUGUGGUUAAGAUAGAUAAAGUGGAGGCUUUGUCGGAUAUGAGGCUCCCUAGUUUCAGCAUCUGCACAGUGGGACCAAUGACGCCUUCCUCCACUGCGUGUGCACUUGGCCGUGCUGCAGCCAUUCUUGUAGGAGCUCCUCUGUCUACAGUCGUCAACUCUUUCUUGGUCUACACACCCAUCAAUAACUCCCCUGCCCAGCAGUGUCCAGGUAGCUCCUGCUAGUGUUUUUUUCUUCUUCCCUCUACACUUCGCUUGUUCCGCCUCGUCUAACUGGUCCCCAGAUGCCCAGACAUAUCUGCUAACCUCACCGCUCUCUGCCUGCAGCUGCUUUCACACAGCCAGUCCCCAGAAAGCAGCCCCGUCUCUCCCUGGUUGGCUCUAAUAGCACCAACUCAGGCCAAGCAAAGAAGUAAAUUGGAGCUGACAUGAUCCACUUAAGAGUUUUAGGUAUUUGUUUCUGGACUCUCCCCGAGCCUUUGCUGGUUAGGAUCAAAUGAAAUAUAUUGUGGGGGUUUCUUGGUUUUUGGUUUUUGGUUUCUGUUUGUCUUAUCUACAGCCUUUCUUCAAAUGACCUUUUAAAGCUUGAGCCACAGCCACUCAUUAAUCUUCUCAAUAUCUCCGUGGUUUUGAAGGUGGGGCAUGGUGACUACUAAGAAGCCCAUUUUGCAGAAAAGAGUCCUAAAGCAGGAAGAGGUCUAGUGACUCGCCCAGAGUCACGCUGUGACUCUGUCCUCUGCAAAGGAUCAAUACAAGUAUUGCCACCCAAUAAGUGUUGCUUUCCGUGCAUCCUCAGGGGACAUUUUCAUUUCAAGACGAGGUUUGACUUCUGGGUGUCACAUCACUGCUUAUAAUCCCCUGUUUCUCGAGGUCUCUGAUUUUCAAACUGUUGCUUCAGAAAACGCAGGAGUCCACAAUGGGGCUUCAGGGUUUGGGACAUGUAAUACAAUGUUUUCUGCUAAACAGUGAAUAUUUAAACUUUCAGGGAACGCUGACUUUUACUGCAUCUAUAAAUUAAAAUUGUGUGUGAGAAUUCAUUUUUGGAGUUAUCUCCUGGCACAGCAGGGCAAGGGUCUGGCAUUGUCACCACAGAGGCGUGAGUCCACUGCUGUGGCACAGGUUUGAUCCCUGGCCUGGGAACUUCCACAUGCCACCGGCAGGACCAACCAACCAACAAACAAAAACAAACAAGAAAAUUCAUUUUUUUUUAAAAAAAGAUAACCUUUUGGGUUUGGGGGGGGGCUACACCCACAGCAUGUGCAAGUUCAUGGGGCCAGGGAUUGAACCUGUGCCACAGCAGUAACCUGAGCCACAGCAGUGAGCUGAGCCACGGCAAUGACAAGGCCAGAUCUUUAACCACUAGGCCACCAGGAAACUCCAAAAUCUGUAUUUUUAAAAGUUUGAAAACCUCUGUUUCAGAACAUGCUAUUGCUCAGAGUAGGCUAGGGUCCAAUACUUAUAAAUCAGCUUUUCAAUAAUAUUAUAUGCAUAGGAAUCAAAAGAACUUAAAGAUCCAAGAUAAUUGUUCUAUCACUUUAUGGUUUCAUAUCAUACCUCAUAAAAUAAUGCUAUUUCCAACUACUAGUCUCACCUUGGCUCCAACUGAAGGUGUUUGAAUGGUUUCCUAAAAUCUCUACAUUGCAGACAUGCUUCUGCUGAUAUUUGCAAGCGGUUUUUCACCAGUUCCCAGAUUCUGAGACUCCCUUUCACUCUGUUAAGAUACUCUGCUCUUAGCUCAUGGCAAUAAAAGCAUCCUCAGGGAAUUUCCUGAACAAUUAGACAAAGUCUGCAUUUUCUAAUCUUUGUAGCAACCUCCUCAUCAGACACUCUUCCAACAUUCCUUCUCUGGAGUGACCUAGCUCCUCUAGCUAAUACACUCCUACCCAGCCUUCAAGCGCCAGCUCAAGUGUCUCCUGCCGCCACAGACUUCUGCAUUGGCUGUAUUUGGUUCGCACUGUCGUAUUGACUCAUGGCUUUUCUCCCGUGUGCUCUGUGGCUAGAGAAGCUAAACUGUAUUGACUUCAUCAGUGGAUUCCCUUGCCGUCUUCUUGGGUUCAGCCAACAGGAGCACUGGCAGAAGUUGAGAGGAAAGGAGAGGCUCGAGGGUUUUUGUCUCCCUAGCUCACUCCCUGAGAGCUAGCUGAGUAGCUAGCAACCCUAAACUGCAGUUUACCCUAAACUGCACGGGUAAACUGCAUCCCUGAACUGAAGACCACAGCAUCUGUAAGCAGUUUUGUUUUUUCCGAAAAGUUUUCUGUACCGGCGUCCAGAAAUUUCUGUCUCCACGAAACCUGGGAGUAUAAUGACCUCCAGUAUAUCCCACGAUCUUGUUUCUUUGCAUUUGCUCACCUUUUGGUAAAUGGUCACAUUAAAAGCCUCUUCUAAAACCAUCCAAUUUGAGGGUUCCUGUGUUUCUUGUUAGAAUUCUAAUUCUUUGACCCUGUUCUCUCAGAGUGGGUCUAUGUUUCCAUUGCAAUUCUACAACUCACGGAUGGGUGCCACUUAUACUUUUUAUUAUACUGUGAUCUCUUUUUAAGUCUAUUUUCCUUCCCAGAAUUUGAAGAUACCCUUGAAUCCUUGCAAUGUUUGGGAUAUUGUAAGGACUAAGUUAAAGUCUGUGAAGACAUUUUCAGCCACUGCUUAUUUUAUCAGCCCACCAACAUGCCAGCAAAGCUUUGAAGGAACAGAACCUCUUAACACAACUACAUUUAAAGGCAUAUUGUCAUUUUCAUUCUGAGGCUCAGAGAAAAGAAUGAAUACAGAGGCUUACUGGUGUCUUUAUCCCUAUUCUUCAAUGUGAAUUCUUCCAGGACAGAAUUUUCCCCCCAGUGUUUAGCAUAGAGUAAGUGCCCUGGGGCCUGACAUAGAGUAAGCACUCAAUGUUUGUUGAAUAAAUUAAUGGGUCUCUAUUUUCUUUCUGUGUGAAAUCCAAAUAGUC
RNAcentral lists this long non-coding RNA (3080 nucleotides) under Sus scrofa (pig). Its description in RNAcentral is "lncRNA (ENSSSCG00025067560.1)". Lineage: Eukaryota; Metazoa; Chordata; Mammalia; Artiodactyla; Suidae. The record is from RNAcentral.